AUACAAUUAUAUACAUACAGUUCGGGUUUUAUAUAUUUGUCAUAUAUAAAAUUUAUUUAGAAGCAUAAAAAAAAUGUCUGCAAGGAACCGUGGCGGACCUCCGGUUCCGAUGGCGCCGGUACACGAGCCUCCAUUGUUCGGAAGGAACCGAGGUCCGAUUCCGAUGCCCAUGCCGAUGCCGAUGCCGUCACACGCAUUACUCGAAGAACUGAGAGAAUCUCAGUUUGUGCACGGUCACGGUCACAGGCCGCUACCGCCUCAUCCGGCGGUUAUAGAGGAGCGGUUAGCGGUUCAACAUCAGGAUAUUCAGGGACUGUUGAUUGAUAACCAGCGGUUGGCUGCGACACACGUUGCGCUUAAGCAGGAACUGGAAGCGGCGCAACAUGAGCUUCAACAAACGGAUCAUUUCGCGAGGAAUUUGUUGAUUGAGAAGGAUAUGCAGAUGAGGGAGUUGUAUGAGAAAUCGGCUAAAAUGGAACAUGAUCUUCACGGGAUGGAAGGGAUGCGAGCCGAGCUUAUGCAAGUUCAUGCUGAUGUUAAGGAGUUGACUGCUACUCGUCAGAAACUUACUGCACAGGUUCAGGCUAUGACCCAAGAACUUGCUAGAGCAAAUGCAGAUUUGCAGCAAGUUCCGGCACUUAAGUCAGAAAUUGGAGGGCUUAGACAGGAACUGCAACGUGCGAGGGCUGCAAUUGAACAUGAGAAGAAGGGGCAUGCAGAGAAUUAUGAGCAUGGUCAAGUGAUGGAAAAGAAUUUACUUUCUAUGGCUCGUGAGCUGGAAAAGUUGCGUGCUGAGAUGGCCAAUGCUGAGAAAAGGGCUCGUGCUGCUGCAGCAGCAGUUAAUCCAAAUCCAGGCUAUAACCCAAAUUAUGGCAAUGCUGAAGCUAGCUAUGCAGGGAAUUCUUAUCCUACAAAUUAUGGCAUGGGUACUACGAAUCAAAUGAAUCCAGUACAGCCUGGUGCAGAAGCUUAUCCUCAGUAUGGACCUGGACCUGGAUCUUGGGGCUCAUAUGACAUGCAACGGGCUCAAGGACACAGAUAGACAAUGCUAUGCUACGCUGUGGUAUCUUAGAUUGCUUAUCGGAGCUAUGGUACUUGGAAUUGAACCCUAGGUGUUUGCUUUGGGAGUGGCAGAACAAAGAUCUUCUGGAUUGUACUAGACAACGCAAAAUUCAGCAGUGAUAUCUUGCUGUCUGCAAACCUGUACUGCACUACACGGCUACCCAGGGCACCUGCCCAUUUUGAUCAUGGUCCGGGGGACCUUUUUGGUGGGAUUUUUGACCAUUUUUGAAAACUAGAAAGAUCUUGUUCAUUUCAAGGAAAUUUCAAAUAAAUGUGACCAAUAAGGAGGUGCCAUAAGGAGCGUGGGAAUGUUGCUCGGUUGCUCCGUUGACACUUUCAUGAUGGAAAUAUCUGGAUUUUCGCACAAUGCCCUUCUCAUUAACCCGUUUCUAACAUAUGCUCAUCGGAAUAUCUACACAGAAGCUAGUUGUGAAAUUAAACUCAAAGUUAUCAAAGUUCUAAAAUACGUGUAUAUGCAAUUUGACCAUCUUGGAACAUCCAUAAGAUACAUCCUCUUUAUUUAACUGGAUGCUUUUUGCUGUUAAGACAAAUAACUAACGAUCAACUUCUUUCUUUUGGCAAUUGAAGCAUAUAAUUUGUACAAA
Molecule: RNA transcript, 1667 nt
Organism: Erigeron canadensis
Lineage: Eukaryota; Viridiplantae; Streptophyta; Magnoliopsida; Asterales; Asteraceae
Gene name: protein FLX-like 1
Exons: 7
Source: RefSeq, a predicted model, not a curated record